Molecule: ribosomal RNA, 161 nt
Filed under: uncultured bacterium
Lineage: Bacteria
Description: partial 16S ribosomal RNA
Rfam family: Bacterial small subunit ribosomal RNA
Source: RNAcentral
ACUCCUACGGGAGGCAGCAGUGGGGAAUAUUGGACAAUGGGCGAAAGCCUGAUCCAGCCAUGCCGCGUGUGUGAAGAAGGUCUUCGGAUAGUAAAGCACUUUAAGUUGGGAGGAAGGGCAGUUACUUUAAUACGUGAUUGUUUGACGUACCGACAGAGUAG